GCCGUUUAUGGUAAGACGUUGCCUAAUGCCUAGGCGAAGAAAGUACCUAUGUUUUCAAGAACGACAAAAAUUAUCAUACAACCAGAAUACCAAAUAUAGUAUUCAAAUAUUAAAUAGACAAAAAUAAUAACUGUAAAAAGGAAGAAUGAUAAAUAAUCAUUUUCGGAAAUGUCAAGGAAAAUAAUUCAUCAUGAGAUGGAGAAAGAUGUUAAUAUUUUAAUUCAUUAACUGAGACUUGGUUCGCAUUGGGAAUGAUAUUAAUCGUGCUUAAUUACAACCAAUAUUAAAGUUGCUAAAAUCCAAAAUACACGGAUGAUAGCAUGGCAUGAACCUAUAUAUGCAUGACGUAUCACAUACAUGACUAUUUGAAUCUGGACGAAAUGAUAUCUACGAAAAAGGAAAAUUUAGUAAUAUUAAAUGAUAUAAUAAUAAUAUUUUCUUGCAGGAGUAAUUUGAAAUUCAUGUGUAGUAUUAAGACUAUUUUGGUUGAUGGCACUUCUAACUAUUGUAUGAAAUUUUUACAGCAUGUGUUAACAGUAAUUGGCUUUAAAAAUAACAAAUAUGUUCCUGUUGCACUUAGUUUAUUAAAGGGUAAAAAGAAAUUAUUGUACAGAACUGUUACGUCUAUGCUGAAAAUAAAUGGAAAUUAAUUUAAUUUUUAAGCUACAACAUUAAGUUUUCAAUUUAAAAAAAGGAAUUUUUCAAGUUGCAAGUAAAGGAUUCCCAAACUUCAUUAUAAUUGGAUGUAGAUUUAAUUUUAGUCAAGGCUGCUGGAGAAAAAAUGUAGGAUAACAAGAUUGACUAUAGAGUACAAAAAUAAGAAAUAUGAACUAUAUUGGUUAUUAUGUUAUUUUUUCAACCACACCAUGGACAGUUUUGGACAAUAAUUCUGUUUGAUGGAAAAAUAAUGAAAGUGAAACUUUUAAUUCUA
This is a long non-coding RNA of Melanaphis sacchari, 931 nucleotides long. RefSeq lists it as uncharacterized. The transcript has 3 exons. The record is from RefSeq and is a predicted model, not a curated record. NCBI's taxonomy places the organism in Eukaryota, Metazoa, Arthropoda, Insecta, Hemiptera, Aphididae.